Molecule: ribosomal RNA, 492 nt
Filed under: uncultured bacterium
Lineage: Bacteria
Description: partial 16S ribosomal RNA
Rfam family: Bacterial small subunit ribosomal RNA
Source: RNAcentral
AGUGAACGCUGGCGGUAGGCCUAACACAUGCAAGUCGAACGGCAGCACAGUAAGAGCUUGCUCUUACGGGUGGCGAGUGGCGGACGGGUGAGGAAUACAUCGGAAUCUACUUUUUCGUGGGGGAUAACGUAGGGAAACUUACGCUAAUACCGCAUACGACCUACGGGUGAAAGCAGGGGAUCUUCGGACCUUGCGCGAUUGAAUGAGCCGAUGUCGGAUUAGCUAGUUGGCGGGGUAAAGGCCCACCAAGGCGACGAUCCGUAGCUGGUCUGAGAGGAUGAUCAGCCACACUGGAACUGAGACACGGUCCAGACUCCUACGGGAGGCAGCAGUGGGGAAUAUUGGACAAUGGGCGCAAGCCUGCUCCAGCCAUACCGAGUGGGUGAAGAAGGCCUUCGGGUUGUAAAGCCCUUUUGUUGGGAAAGAAAAGCAGCAGGUUAAUACCCCGCUGUUAUGACGGUACCCAAAGAAUAAGCACCGGCUAACUUCGUG